CGCCUUGCCAGCCCGCUACAGAAACUUAAAGGAAUUGACGGGGCCCGCACAAGCGGUGGAGCAUGUGGUUUAAUUCGAUGAUACGCGAGGAACCUUACCUGGGCUCAAAUGUAUGUUGACGUAUUCUGAAAGGGAUACUUCUUCGGACAAUAUACAAGGUGCUGCAUGGUUGUCGUCAGCUCGUGCCGUGAGGUGUCGGGUUAAGUCCCAUAACGAGCGCAACCCUACCUUUAGUUGCCAUCAGGUUAAGCUGGGGACUCUAAAGGAACUGCCUACGCAAGUAGUGAGGAAGGCGGGGAUGACGUCAAAUCAGCACGGCCCUUACGUCCAGGGCUACACACGUGCUACAAUGGCCGAUACAGAGGGCAGCUACCUGGUGACAGGAUGCAAAUCUCCAAAGUCGGUCUCAGUUCGGAUCGGAGUCUGCAACCCGACUCCGUGAAGUUGGAUUCGCUAGUAAUCGCGCAUCAGCCAUGGCGCGGUGAAUACGUUCCCGGGCCUU
Molecule: ribosomal RNA, 502 nt
Filed under: uncultured Sphingobacteriales bacterium
Lineage: Bacteria; Pseudomonadati; Bacteroidota; Sphingobacteriia; Sphingobacteriales
Description: bacterial SSU rRNA
Rfam family: Bacterial small subunit ribosomal RNA
Source: RNAcentral